RNAcentral lists this long non-coding RNA (229 nucleotides) under Mytilus galloprovincialis (Mediterranean mussel). The record is from RNAcentral. Lineage: Eukaryota; Metazoa; Mollusca; Bivalvia; Mytilida; Mytilidae.
UAAUUUACUACUUAGGCCACACCAAUUUAAUUUCUUGUUCUACGGAUUUUUGGACUCCAAAAUUUGGGGCGAGCGAGCGAUUUGAAAAUUUUAAUAAAAAAAUAUUUAAUUUGCAAAUUUUUGAGGCGAAGCUUGAAAAGUAAAGGCGAGCGAUUAUAAUUUUUUUUUUUGUAAACAUAAAAUAGUAGGUUUUGACAAUAUUAAAGCUUGAUUUAUCACUUGUACUUUG